Molecule: long non-coding RNA, 232 nt
Organism: Alligator sinensis (Chinese alligator)
Lineage: Eukaryota; Metazoa; Chordata; Crocodylia; Alligatoridae
Exons: 3
Source: RefSeq, a predicted model, not a curated record
GAGGAUUCCACCUAUAAGAGAAAAUGAGAAUACUGAAAUUCCACAACUGACCUAUUACUAGUUCCAGUGUUCCUGGAGCAAUGUUAAUUCUUCACCAUGGAUCUAAGUUCUUUGCAUGAACAAGGGUGAAAGGACCAUGCACUGAUCAGUGAAGAAUUCUAUGCAGUAUUAUCAUCUUAAGCACCAACAGUGAUAUUUACUGGAAUUGAUUAACAUCUGCAUAUGGAUACUU